This is a long non-coding RNA of Anguilla anguilla (European eel), 372 nucleotides long. RefSeq lists it as uncharacterized. The record is from RefSeq and is a predicted model, not a curated record. Lineage: Eukaryota; Metazoa; Chordata; Actinopteri; Anguilliformes; Anguillidae. The transcript has 3 exons.
CUUCGGUAAAUUCCGUUUUCUGCCGAUGCCUGACGACUCGAAUGGCGAACGAGGGUUCGUAGAGCAGGGUCGCGUUUGGGGGCAGGGCCUAGACCAUGGGCGGCUCAGAGCCUCACAUCACCACCAAUUACAGGCAAUUUCAGAAAAUUCUUGGAAAAUUCAGGAAACUUUUGGAAUCCGACACCUUCAUCAUCAUCAUCGUGGUGGUGCUGGUAGUAUUUCUGGCCGUUUCGAUCUUCUGCUGCAUCCGCCGGCGCCGUCAGGACCAGAAGCUCUUAAUGCAACGAUUGACUAGGAUUGUGGUCGUCAGUUCUGAAUCCGACAACCAAAACCAACCGAGUACGUCUCAGUGCCUCUCAUCCUCCUAACUAC